CUCUCUUUCUUCUCCUUCUUGUUUCUUUUCAUUUCCUUUCUUUCUCUCUCUCUAAACCGAUUGGUGGAGUUGGGUUUUUCUUGAUGGUUUGAGCUAAGAGGAAGGUCCAGGAGCUGAGAGCAGCUUGUGGGAGCUUCCAAGUUAAGCGAACACGUUGCGAAGUCGGUUCGGCAAUCCGUCGAGCCUACGCGAAGAUAUCGCCAAAAGGGACGUUUCGGCUUCAAUUGUUGCGAACGCAGAUCGCGGUUCUUGGGAGAGUGCGGGAAGUGGAUUUCUCGCUUUCCGGUAUCAAGUAAAGAGAGAGAAAGGGAAGGAGAAGAAGGAGAAGGAGAGGAGA
Ananas comosus (pineapple) is the source of this 337-nucleotide long non-coding RNA. RefSeq lists it as uncharacterized. The transcript has 3 exons. The record is from RefSeq and is a predicted model, not a curated record. Lineage: Eukaryota; Viridiplantae; Streptophyta; Magnoliopsida; Poales; Bromeliaceae.